Molecule: long non-coding RNA, 2805 nt
Organism: Lycium ferocissimum
Lineage: Eukaryota; Viridiplantae; Streptophyta; Magnoliopsida; Solanales; Solanaceae
Exons: 4
Source: RefSeq, a predicted model, not a curated record
CUUCUCAACUAAUUACUAUUAACUAAUAACUAAUUCAGCCAUGUGGCGUGACCAGAAAAAGCCACAUAUAACUUAUUACCUAAUUAAUUAUUAACUAAUUCAAAAUAUUGGGCAUUCUCAUAAAAUAUCUGUCUAUACUGCAAAAAAAAAAUUAAAAAGAAAUAACUUUUCCAACGAUCUCAUUUAUUCUAAAUCACAGUUAUCCAUUUAAAUUGAGUGCAUCUCACUGGUUGAUCCUAAUAACAAUAAUUAAAAAUAGAUGCGAACACAGGUUUUCUUCACACACACAAUUUUCAAUAAUUAAUAAAUGCUAACUAUAUCUUUAAUAAUUUAAAAUAAAAGAAGAAAGAUAAAAAAGGAAAUAAAAGAAGUUAUCCCAAAAUAAACUACCCAAACCCCCAUGAACGCUCCAAAUGCAUAUUGUUGUGCACGUUCCCCAUUUUCACAUCUGCACACACACCACAAGUGCACGUCCCCACUCCCCAAAUUGUAAAUUCUAAUUCUUUUUAAUUACAAACUUAAGCAAUUUGCUUAAGAAUACUUUCUUUUUCUUAGUUAUAUUUUGAAUUGAUAGUGGGUAAUUAGUUUUAAAAAUAAAGAUUUAAAAUUUGAAUUUAAUACUUAUAGUUUUGGAGAUGGUUACAACUUCCCUAUUUCAUCCUAAUUGUAGGAGUUCUCAAAGUUUUAGUCAUUCAGAAUUACUCUUACACAUCAAGAAGAAGCCGGAAAGAAAAAAAAGAGCAAUGGAAGUUGCAAAGACACGAAAUCGAGGGAGUGAGGAACGAUGCCUUUUGAUUGGGGCUUCAGGGUGUUAAGAGCGAUAUCGUCGGAUCUCAUCCUGUUGAGUCUUCCUAGCACUCUACGAAGGUAAGGCAAGAGGAGAUGAAGCCCAGCCGUUGGUGUUUGCAAGUAUCUUCCUCUUCAUUUGUCGAUUUACAUCCGGAUAUCUUCCUCUUUAUCUGUUAGACUUACAUCCGAAUUAGCGCAUUAUAUGUACUAACCUUUGUGUAAUCUUUAACAGUUAAUUCACAACCACAUACUAUCGCAAAAUGACAAUUGAACAUGUUUCUUUUUUCUUAUCUAACUCAUGCUUCUUUUGAACAUAUGUCAGGACAUUGGCUCCAACUACCUACAUAUUUUUGGUAUCGGCUCUUCCAGUAAUUGCUUUUGGAUAACAAUUGAGAAGAGAUAUAGAUUCUUUUCACUAUAUUUUGAACUUCAUUACUACAUCAAAAGAAAAGUAACAAAAUCAAUGAAUACUGUGGACUUAUAAUUUUGCAUCUUAAUUAGAUGGGAGAGUCAUGAAAACUUUGGUCUCAACAGUUGUAUGUGGUAUGAUACGCUCCAUAUUCGGGGGAAAAUAAACAAUGCAGGAUGUCAAUGUAAGAUUAAAUAAAGCGAGAGGAGUAAGCGAAGAUUAAAUAAAGCGAGAGGAGUAAGAUUAAUAAGAAGUAAAGAUCAAUCAGUGAAUCAUUUAAAUUUGAAAAUUAAUUUUGUUAAGCAUAUCCGGUCUUAUCCAUGAUAUAAAAUUUUGGUAAAGAAAUUACUGAUUGACCAAAACAAUUUUUUUAAGGGAAUGCUGACACUCUUUUGCAUCUUGUCCUAAUCAACAAUUUGUAUACAUAUAAAAAUCACAUUGCCCAUCCCCUACAAAUCCUCUCUAAUAUUUUCUCUUUGAUUUUUUAUUCUCAGUAAUGCUGACAGGGAAUGCCUUGAUGUAGCUUAAUUAAUCUCUAUUGUACAGUUUUUUGCGCAAGAAACUGGAUUGGCGAAAGGUUCAUUAGAUUGUGGUGAUGCUGUUCAAAUUCAGACUGAAGUGGCCGAUAGGACAAGAAGUAUCAUGUUUAAAACCUGUUUAAAAUCUCUUGGCAAGAUUUUUUGAGUGUUGACUUUGUGAGUCAACAAUCGUUUUGCAGACUCGGGUACAAUCUGAUUCUGUGUAUAAUGUGAUGAAAUUUUUUUGUCCUGCAGUGUCUGAUCAAUAGGUAUUAGGCAUCAUGAGGAAGCAGAAGAAUUGGCAUUUGCUUUUGCAAGAUUUACACAAAUUCUUGCAGCUAUGCUAGAUUUGGAUAUCGAGAGCUUGGCAUUUGCUUUUGCAAGAUUACACAAAAGGGAGGCUCCAAAAUCAAUUAUUACAUGGUAGCAUUUCUGAAAUUGGGAAUCAAUCUCAUUUUUUUUUUCGUUUCGUGUCCUUCAAAAAUAUAAUUUAACUAUAAAAAUUACAUUAACAAUACACAUUGUUCUAUUGAUAGAAAAGGAAUCAAAUAAAAAUGGUAGAAUAUACUAAGACUCUAUGAAACAAAAAUGUCAUGAAAGUAGUAGUUUGCACUUGAAGGACAAAACAAUUUGUACAUUAUUAUCUAUUUGUGGAGUCACAGCUAUAUUACCACUUCGAAAUUACAGUAAUUGGAUGCCAUCACUUCUACCAUGUUUAAUCGCUCACCAGUAUCUUCAUGUAUCAUUGUAAGUUUCUCAACUUUUUACUUCCUUUAACUUUGUGUACGUGCAUGGAGAAUAAUGAAUAAUUAGUUUGAUAAUAAUCUAUUGUGUAAAGCUUUUAUGGCUAGAUAAUUACUACGAAUCAAUGGCGGCUGCAAGAGAAUUGGAAGUCAUUGCCCUCUGUAUAUGUAUGUUUAUAGUGCAUAUCAUCUCUGAGAUGCUUAACGGUGACCUUCUUUUUCUGUUUUUUUCAAUCAUAUUUUAUACUUUGUUUUGGUUUCGGUUUCAUUAGCUUGGAGGCAAUGUAUUUUAUAGAAGGUUCACAAUAAACAAAGCAAAGUGCAAAAAAAAGAAAAAGGAAAAAAU